RNAcentral lists this ribosomal RNA (497 nucleotides) under uncultured bacterium. RNAcentral describes it as "partial 16S ribosomal RNA". It matches the Rfam family "Bacterial small subunit ribosomal RNA", at positions 28 to 507 of the family's 1533-position model. The record is from RNAcentral.
GAUGAACGCUGGCGGCGUGCCUAAUACAUGCAAGUCGAGCGAACAGACGAGGAGCUUGCUCCUCUGACGUUAGCGGCGGACGGGUGAGUAACACGUGGAUAACCUACCUAUAAGACUGGGAUAACUUCGGGAAACCGGAGCUAAUACCGGAUAAUAUAUUGAACCGCAUGGUUCAAUAGUGAAAGACGGUUUUGCUGUCACUUAUAGAUGGAUCCGCGCCGCAUUAGCUAGUUGGUAAGGUAAUGGCUUACCAAGGCAACGAUGCGUAGCCGACCUGAGAGGGUGAUCGGCCACACUGGAACUGAGACACGGUCCAGACUCCUACGGGAGGCAGCAGUAGGGAAUCUUCCGCAAUGGGCGAAAGCCUGACGGAGCAACGCCGCGUGAGUGAUGAAGGUCUUCGGAUCGUAAAACUCUGUUAUUAGGGAAGAACAAAUGUGUAAGUAACUAUGCACGUCCUGACGGUACCUAAUCAGAAAGCCACGGCUAACUACGUG